RNAcentral lists this ribosomal RNA (465 nucleotides) under uncultured bacterium. Its description in RNAcentral is "bacterial SSU rRNA". It matches the Rfam family "Bacterial small subunit ribosomal RNA", at positions 28 to 507 of the family's 1533-position model. The record is from RNAcentral.
GACGAACGCUGGCGGCAUGCCUAACACAUGCAAGUCGAACGGAGAAAAGAAAGCUUGCUUCUUUUCUUAGUGGCGGACGGGUGAGUAACGCGUGAGUAACCUGCCUUUCAGAGGGGGAUAACGUUCUGAAAAGAUCGCUAAUACCGCAUGAGACUACAGAGCUGCAUGGCUCAGUGGUCAAAGGAGCAAUCCGCUGAAAGAUGGACUCGCGUCCGAUUAGAUAGUUGGCGGGGUAACGGCCCACCAAGUCGACGAUCGGUAGCCGGACUGAGAGGUUGAACGGCCACAUUGGGACUGAGACACGGCCCAGACUCCUACGGGAGGCAGCAGUGAGGGAUAUUCGGCAAUGGGGGAAACCCUGACCGAGCAAUGCCGCGUGAGGGAUGACGGUUUUCGGAUUGUAAACCUCUGUCCUCUGUGAAGAUAAUGACGGUAGCAGAGGAGGAAGCUCCGGCUAACUACGUG